GGGGAAUCUUCCGCAAUGGGCGAAAGCCUGACGGAGCAACGCCGCGUGAGUGAUGACGGCCUUCGGGUUGUAAAACUCUGUGAUCCGGGACGAAAAGGCAGAGUGCGAAGAACAAACUGCAUUGACGGUACCGGAAAAGCAAGCCACGGCUAACUACGUGCCAGCAGCCGCGGUAAUACGUAGGUGGCAAGCGUUGUCCGGAAUUAUUGGGCGUAAAGCGCGCGCAGGCGGCUUCCCAAGUCCCUCUUAAAAGUGCGGGGCUUAACCCCGUGAUGGGAAGGAAACUGGGAAGCUGGAGUAUCGGAGAGGAAAGUGGAAUUCCUAGUGUAGCGGUGAAAUGCGUAGAGAUUAGGAAGAACACCGGUGGCGAAGGCGACUUUCUGGACGAAAACUGACGCUGAGGCGCGAAAGCGUGGGGAGCAAAC
Molecule: ribosomal RNA, 425 nt
Filed under: uncultured bacterium
Lineage: Bacteria
Description: bacterial SSU rRNA
Rfam family: Bacterial small subunit ribosomal RNA
Source: RNAcentral